RNAcentral lists this ribosomal RNA (503 nucleotides) under uncultured bacterium. RNAcentral's name for it is "partial 16S ribosomal RNA". It matches the Rfam family "Bacterial small subunit ribosomal RNA", at positions 30 to 523 of the family's 1533-position model. The record is from RNAcentral.
AUUGAACGCUGGCGGCAGGCUUAACACAUGCAAGUCGAGCGGGGUGAUGGUGCUUGCACUAUCACUUAGCGGCGGACGGGUGAGUAAUGCUUAGGAAUCUGCCUAUUAGUGGGGGACAACAUCUCGAAAGGGAUGCUAAUACCGCAUACGUCCUACGGGAGAAAGCAGGGGAUCACUUGUGACCUUGCGCUAAUAGAUGAGCCUAAGUCGGAUUAGCUAGUUGGUGGGGUAAAGGCCUACAAAGGCGACGAUCUGUAGCGGGUCUGAGAGGAUGAUCCGCCACACUGGGGCUGAGACACGGCCCGGACUCCUACGGGAGGCAGCAGUGGGGAAUAUUGGACAAUGGGGGGAACCCUGAUCCAGCCAUGCCGCGUGUGUGAAGAAGGCCUUAUGGUUGUAAAGCACUUUAAGCGAGGAGGAGGCUCUUUUGGUUAAUACCCAAGAUGAGUGGACGUUACUCGCAGAAUAAGCACCGGCUAACUCUGUGCCAGCAGCCGCCGUAA